This 992-nucleotide ribosomal RNA is filed under the name Nesterenkonia sandarakina. Its description in RNAcentral is "bacterial SSU rRNA". It matches the Rfam family "Bacterial small subunit ribosomal RNA", at positions 126 to 1127 of the family's 1533-position model. The record is from RNAcentral. Lineage: Bacteria; Bacillati; Actinomycetota; Actinomycetes; Micrococcales; Micrococcaceae.
CUUCCCUUGACUCUGGGAUAAGCCCGGGAAACUGGGUCUAAUACCGGAUACGACCAGUCCUCGCAUGGGGUGCUGGUGGAAAGAUUUAUCGGUCUUGGAUGGACUCGCGGCCUAUCAGCUUGUUGGUGAGGUAAUGGCUCACCAAGGCGAUGACGGGUAGCCGGCCUGAGAGGGUGACCGGCCACACUGGGACUGAGACACGGCCCAGACUCCUACGGGAGGCAGCAGUGGGGAAUAUUGCACAAUGGGCGAAAGCCUGAUGCAGCGACGCCGCGUGCGGGAUGACGGCCUUCGGGUUGUAAACCGCUUUCAGCAGGGAAGAAGCGAAAGUGACGGUACCUGCAGAAGAAGCGCCGGCUAACUACGUGCCAGCAGCCGCGGUAAUACGUAGGGCGCGAGCGUUAUCCGGAAUUAUUGGGCGUAAAGAGCUCGUAGGCGGUUUGUCACGUCUGCUGUGAAAGCCCGGGGCUCAACCCCGGGUGUGCAGUGGGUACGGGCAGACUAGAGUGCAGUAGGGGAGACUGGAAUUCCUGGUGUAGCGGUGAAAUGCGCAGAUAUCAGGAGGAACACCGAUGGCGAAGGCAGGUCUCUGGGCUGUUACUGACGCUGAGGAGCGAAAGCAUGGGGAGCGAACAGGAUUAGAUACCCUGGUAGUCCAUGCCGUAAACGUUGGGCACUAGGUGUGGGGGACAUUCCACGUUUUCCGCGCCGUAGCUAACGCAUUAAGUGCCCCGCCUGGGGAGUACGGCCGCAAGGCUAAAACUCAAAGGAAUUGACGGGGGCCCGCACAAGCGGCGGAGCAUGCGGAUUAAUUCGAUGCAACGCGAAGAACCUUACCAAGGCUUGACAUGGACCGGACCGCUGCAGAGAUGCAGCUUCCCUUCGGGGUCGGUUCACAGGUGGUGCAUGGUUGUCGUCAGCUCGUGUCGUGAGAUGUUGGGGUUAAGUCCCGCAACGAGCGCAACCCCCUAUCCUAUGUUGGCCAGCACGUU